Molecule: transfer RNA, 87 nt
Filed under: Pararhodospirillum photometricum DSM 122
Lineage: Bacteria; Pseudomonadati; Pseudomonadota; Alphaproteobacteria; Rhodospirillales; Rhodospirillaceae
Description: tRNA-Leu
Source: RNAcentral
CUUAUGCGGUUUGCUCCCAAAGGCGGCGCAGGUCGGCUUCGCCGGGGAGAGCGCCGUCCUCGUCGCGGUAGCUGAGGGAGGCGGUGU